This 406-nucleotide ribosomal RNA is filed under the name uncultured bacterium. RNAcentral's name for it is "partial 16S ribosomal RNA". It matches the Rfam family "Bacterial small subunit ribosomal RNA", at positions 30 to 526 of the family's 1533-position model. The record is from RNAcentral.
AUUGAACGCUAGCGGCAUGCUUAACACAUGCAAGUCGAACGAGUGGCGGACGGGUGAGUAAUAUCUCGGAACGUGCCUAGUAGCGGGGGAUAACUACUAGAAAGGGUAGCUAAUACCGCAUACUAUUGGAUCUGCCGAUAUGGGAUUAGCUAGUUGGUGGGGUAAAGGCUCACCAAGGCAACGAUCCGUAGCUGGUUUGAGAGGACGACCAGCCACACUGGGACUGAGACACGGCCCAGACUCCUACGGGAGGCAGCAGUGGGGAAUCUUGGACAAUGGGCGCAAGCCUGAUGCAGCCAUGCCGCGUGUAGGAAGAAGGCCUUCGGGUUGUAAAGUACUUUCAGUCGGGAGGCGUUACCGACAGAAGAAGCACCGGCUAACUCCGUGCCAGCAGCCGCGGUAAUUC